Pelobates cultripes (western spadefoot toad) is the source of this 447-nucleotide non-coding RNA. NCBI's taxonomy places the organism in Eukaryota, Metazoa, Chordata, Amphibia, Anura, Pelobatidae. The record is from the annotation of a GenBank genome assembly.
CAGCUAUGUAAAUUGUAAGGCCCUCACAUAUGUAGUUUUGCACCUGACCAUGCCAGAACAUCACAUACGUAGUCUUGGCACAUUGUAUUGUAUUGUAAUAAGACCCUAUCCCUACACCUCCCUAGUAAUGCCCCCUAGAUACGUUUUAUAUUAAUGAUGGGUUAUAUGCUUUCACCAAUGUUUUAUGCUCAAGCUUUUUCAUGACGUUUGUUAAUAGUUGUCAAUAUUUGCUUGGUAAUUAAUGAUACUAUCCCUUGACUCCCUUUUAUUGCAUGUUAUAAAAUCUUUGUUCUGUUUAGUAAAUAUCAGACAUGUCCCAAAAUGACUCCCUUCUGUCGCCUAGUACUUGAAAGAGGGUUGCUCAGUCUCUAUAGAGUUGUGAGACCAUGGCACGUAAUUCUGGUGAUUACCAAAGACAGAAGUAUGUUUGAACAAAGUCGAUGUAGG